RNAcentral lists this ribosomal RNA (489 nucleotides) under uncultured bacterium. RNAcentral describes it as "partial 16S ribosomal RNA". It matches the Rfam family "Bacterial small subunit ribosomal RNA", at positions 28 to 505 of the family's 1533-position model. The record is from RNAcentral.
GAUGAACGCUGUCUACAGGCUUAACACAUGCAAGUCGAGGGGAAACGACGGGGAAGCUUGCUUCCCCGGGCGUCGACCGGCGCACGGGUGAGUAACGCGUAUCCAACCUGCCUCUGACUGAGGGAUAACCCGUCGAAAGUCGGCCUAAUACCUCAUGGCAUCGUCUGCGGGCAUCCAACGACGAUUAAAGAUUUCAUCGGUCAGGGAUGGGGAUGCGUCUGAUUAGCUUGUUGGCGGGGUAACGGCCCACCAAGGCUACGAUCAGUAGGGGUUCUGAGAGGAAGGUCCCGCACAUUGGAACUGAGACACGGUCCAAACUCCUACGGGAGGCAGCAGUGAGGAAUAUUGGUCAAUGGGCGGGAGCCUGAACCAGCCAAGUAGCGUGCAGGAUGACGGCCCUAUGGGUUGUAAACUGCUUUUAUGCGGGGAUAAAGUGAGGGACGUGUCCUUCAUUGCAGGGACCGCAUGAAUAAGGACCGGCUAAUUCCG